This 301-nucleotide ribosomal RNA is filed under the name uncultured bacterium. RNAcentral describes it as "partial 16S ribosomal RNA". It matches the Rfam family "Bacterial small subunit ribosomal RNA", at positions 509 to 808 of the family's 1533-position model. The record is from RNAcentral.
CAGCCGCCACGGUAAUACAGAGGAUGCAAGCGUUAUCUGGAAUGAUUGGGCGUAAAGCGUCUGUAGAUGGCUUUUCAAGUCCGCCGUCAAAUCCCAGGGUCAAACCUAGACAGGCGGUGGAAACUACCAAGCUGGAGUACAGUAGGGGCAGAGGGAAUUUCCGGUGGAGCAGUGAAAUGCGUUGAGAUCGGAAAGAACACCAAUGGCGAAAGCACUCUGCUGGGCCGACACUGACACUGAAAGACGAAAGCUAGGGGAGCAAAUGGGAUUAGAUACCCGGGUAGUCCCUGUCUCUUAUACA